RNAcentral lists this long non-coding RNA (381 nucleotides) under Sorghum bicolor (sorghum). RNAcentral's name for it is "long non-coding RNA (SBIC_LNC014714)". The record is from RNAcentral. Lineage: Eukaryota; Viridiplantae; Streptophyta; Magnoliopsida; Poales; Poaceae.
CCGGCUUAGAGCAUCUGUGUACUAGCGUAGCAUUGAUCAAGAUGAAGUAAUAAUAAACCUCGAAGCAUCUGAUCGAUUUCUUUGCUGUAGUGAUCGACCAUCAGAUCGAGUAACAUGCAAGCAUGUGUACGGAAUUAAAAUGGGUUUUAAGUAUUGAUGGUGUUUAAUUAAUCCACAAGCAGAUCUGGUUGUAAUGCAUGGUGCAGUCGUGGUUUUUUUUUAUUUUCCCACCAUUGUUCGAUUUCGCCGGCCACCUUUUACAUUUAUAAAUAAUUUUUGGAUGAAUAUUUUGCAUACACAUCCACGUAGACGUAGUAGAUUUGGAUAAUCAAAAAUCUAACUGAACAUUUUUGUUGCUUUCAAUAUAUUUAGAUAAGGUCU